AACGCAAAUUGCGCCUCUCUCCGGGAGGCAUGUCUGUUUGAGGGUCUUUUUUAAUCAAUAAUACUACGAAAUUUUUUUUUUGUGGUACGUUUAUGGGCUUUCCGAAAUUUUUUAAAAUUUAAAAUUUUUUGGUAGCUUUGAAAAAAAGGACCAUGGCACGGAUUUCUGCGACGACGGGUAGUAAACAAGCAUCGAUAUGCGCAAAUACAAAAAACCUGUUAGCGUGGGAAUUUUGUUGCAGUGGAGGUGAGAUUUUAGGGUGUGGCAAAAUUACCCAGGAGAAAAAGCCACUCUUUCCCAUUAUGGAAAGAAAUUAAAAAAAAAAAGAAUUCAUUUAUUUUUUUUUUUUUUUUUUGCAACGAGACCUCAAAUCAGACAAGAAUACCCGCUGAACUUAA
RNAcentral lists this unclassified non-coding RNA (398 nucleotides) under uncultured fungus. Its description in RNAcentral is "partial contains 5.8S ribosomal RNA, internal transcribed spacer 2, and large subunit ribosomal RNA". The record is from RNAcentral. Lineage: Eukaryota; Fungi.